This 241-nucleotide ribosomal RNA is filed under the name uncultured Actinomycetales bacterium. RNAcentral's name for it is "partial 16S ribosomal RNA". It matches the Rfam family "Bacterial small subunit ribosomal RNA", at positions 89 to 334 of the family's 1533-position model. Lineage: Bacteria; Bacillati; Actinomycetota; Actinomycetes; Actinomycetales. The record is from RNAcentral.
ACUCGAGUGGCGAACGGGUGAGUAACACGUGGGUGAUCUGCCCUGCACUUCGGGAUAAGCCUGGGAAACUGGGUCUAAUACCGGAUAGGGGCCAUUUUUAGUGUGAUGGUUGGAAAGUUUUUCGGUGUAGGAUGAGCCCGCGGCCUAUCAGCUUGUUGGUGGGGUGAUGGCCUACCAAGGCGACGACGGGUAGCCGGCCUGAGAGGGUGAUCGGCCACAUUGGGACUGAGAUACGGCCCAG